GACGAACGCUGGCGGCGUGCUUAACACAUGCAAGUCGUACGGUAACGCCCUUUCGGGGGUACACGAGUGGCGAACGGUUGCGUAACACUUGAGUAACCUGCCCACUACUUUUUGAUAUCGCUAGUAACCUGGUGCUACUACUGCAUAUAUGCUCCUGCUGCUUCGUGUGGGUUGGAAAGCUCCGGCGGUGGUGGGUGGACUCGCGGCCUAUCGGCUUGUUGGUGAGGUAGUGGCCUACCAGGGCGGCGACGGGUAGCCCGCCUGAGAGGGUGACCGGCCACAGUGGGACUGAGAGACGGCCCAGACGCCUACGGGAGGCAGAAGUGGGGAAGAUUGAACAAGGGGCGCAAGCCGGAUGCAGCAACGCCGCGGGCGGGAUGACGGCCUUCUGGUUGUAAAACGCUUUCAGCAGGGACGAAGCUUGUUGUGACGGUACCUAAAGAAGAAGCACCGGCUAACUACGUG
Molecule: ribosomal RNA, 465 nt
Filed under: uncultured bacterium
Lineage: Bacteria
Description: partial 16S ribosomal RNA
Rfam family: Bacterial small subunit ribosomal RNA
Source: RNAcentral